This is a long non-coding RNA of Oreochromis niloticus (Nile tilapia), 1669 nucleotides long. RefSeq lists it as uncharacterized. The record is from RefSeq and is a predicted model, not a curated record. NCBI's taxonomy places the organism in Eukaryota, Metazoa, Chordata, Actinopteri, Cichliformes, Cichlidae. The transcript is spliced from 3 exons.
AAGCUGAUGAAUGUCCUUUGACAUAUUGUGUUGAUUUAAUAUCUUCUCGAAUUCACAUUAAUUCAUUGUUUACAUCAAUCUUUGCACCUUUCCCUUUGCUGAAAUCUGCUUUAAGUGUGUUUUUCAUUGAAAAUGGUAGCAAUUUGAGGUGUGCUUUGGUAUACAGAAAAUACCCCUGGUGGGAUUUGUCUGGUUGUCCGGACAGGUUGCCAUGGUGAAGGUAGUGAUUAAAGCUAUUAAAGCUGCAGGCGUAGGGUUAAAUGGGAGCUCUGACUGCUCCUGCUGUCACAAAUUAAACAGAAAGAGAGAGACAGAGCAGAAAAGAAUGGGAAAGACAUGAAAAGAUGGAAUUAGAAGGAAAAAAAUCCACCAAGACAAAAAAAAAGUGUGGGUGAGCAAAAUGUGAUUAGUUGCGCUCAAAGCAAGGCAGGAUCCUAAUUGAUUUCUUUUUACAGCAGAUGAAAUAAAAGGUUAUGGUGUUCCAACAAUAACUUUCCUAUCUAAGCCCAGACAGGGGGGGUUUAUCACACUGUAAAAGACAGAGGUCGUUCAUCAUCACAGUCUGAUGUGUACUACAGGAGCUUAGGGUGUAGCGCAGGAAGCGUGUGUGGAUGUGCAUGCGUGAGGCUCAGCCGUCUGGGAAACGGAAAUCCAAGGCAGAACUCUCUUGAUCAGGAUUAUGUCAGUUUUCCUCUCGCUUUAGAAUGCCAAAGACAAUCAAUACAAAAAGGAUCACACUAUAAUCAUCGGCUCUGAGGAUACUGGCAAACGUGUCUGGGUGAAAGCAGUACAGAGCUACACAAGAUCAUGACAUAAUAAUCGCUGAAUAUCAUACACGGUGCCAACUAAACAACUACAGCUAAAGAGCAAAAAAGAAUCCAAAAUAAUUAUGAAACAUGAAACAAUUCUUUAAAAACGGGCAGCUGGCUCAAAUUAAGUACUGAACUACUGAACCUAUACUAAUAAAUAGAGAGGAAAAAACAUCUGUUUUUUUAAUGCUUUUUUUGGACACAGUCUAAUUAUAUGUAUAAUACAAUGCAAUUACGAACAACACCAUAUAUUUCACAAUGCACUAAGAAAAAAACCCUAAAGAACUUAGUGUGUCUGUAAGUAUUCUUGUUUUUCAGGGAUGACUGAAUGAACAACACUCUUAUAUAAAGAGGGAAAGUAAGAGAGGCGAGGAUGAGACAGUUUGGACAUGUGCAGAGGAGGGACAGUGGAUAUGCUGGACAGAGGAUGCUGAAGAUGGAGCUGCCAGCCAGGAGAGAGGAAAGACGAUGACCACUGAAGAGACACGUGGAUGUCACGCAGAGGGUUGGUGUGACAGCAGAGAAUACUAAGGAUAGGGUGAGGUGGAGGCAGAUGAUCCAAUAUGGCAAGCCCUGAAGAGAGCAGCCGGAUAAAGGACAAGUAAAAAGAAGAAGAAUAUGAAGACCCUUUUGUUUCCAUUAAUCAUCUGGAAAUUUAUUGUGUCAGUCUCAUGCCUGAGCAAGCACCCCAGUGGCUUUUUUGUAAAAGUCACAAUGACGAGGUUAAAAGAAAAAUCAGCUUAGAUGCAGUAUGUCUUUGUCUGUCUUUCACACAGACAGGCAAAGACACGUGAGAGUACUUACUGAUGUUGUUCUGUGUUCUACCAAUCACAGCAAUCAAGUAAGUGAUGCUUAAUAAA